Molecule: ribosomal RNA, 581 nt
Filed under: Schaalia odontolytica
Lineage: Bacteria; Bacillati; Actinomycetota; Actinomycetes; Actinomycetales; Actinomycetaceae
Description: bacterial SSU rRNA
Rfam family: Bacterial small subunit ribosomal RNA
Source: RNAcentral
UUCGCAUGGGGGUUGGUGGAAAGGGUUUUUCUGUUGGGGGAUGGGCUCGCGGCCUAUCAGCUUGUUGGUGGGGGUGAUGGCCUACCAAGGCUUUGACGGGUAGCCGGCCUGAGAGGGUGACCGGUCACAUUGGGACUGAGAUACGGGCCCAGACUCCUACGGGAGGCAGCAGUGGGGAAUAUUGCACAAUGGGCGCAAGCCUGAUGCAGCGACGCCGCGUGAGGGAUGGAGGCCUUCGGGUUGUGAACCUCUUUCGCUCAUGGUCAAGCCGCAACAAUGGUUGUGGUGAGGGUAGUGGGUAAAGAAGCGCCGGCUAACUACGUGCCAGCAGCCGCGGUAAUACGUAGGGCGCGAGCGUUGUCCGGAAUUAUUGGGCGUAAAGGGCUUGUAGGCGGUUGGUCGCGUCUGCCGUGAAAUCCUCUGGCUUAACUGGGGGCGUGCGGUGGGUACGGGCUGACUUGAGUGCGGUAGGGGAGACUGGAACUCCUGGUGUAGCGGUGGAAUGCGCAGAUAUCAGGAAGAACACCGGUGGCGAAGGCGGGUCUCUGGGCCGUUACUGACGCUGAGGAGCGAAAGCGUGG